GCCUUCGUGGUGUAGUGGUUAGCACACUCGAAGCGUAACUGAGAGGUCCGUGGUUCGAUUCCCGUGAAGGCG
This 72-nucleotide transfer RNA is filed under the name Stegodyphus mimosarum. It matches the Rfam family "tRNA". Rfam says of the family: Transfer RNA (tRNA) molecules are approximately 80 nucleotides in length. Their secondary structure includes four short double-helical elements and three loops (D, anti-codon, and T loops). Lineage: Eukaryota; Metazoa; Arthropoda; Arachnida; Araneae; Eresidae. The record is from Rfam by way of RNAcentral.